AAGCGGCCGCCGUCCGCGUGUCAGGUGAACUGAACUUCAGGGGGAAUCAGCACAUUCCUCGCAAAAGUUGAGGUCCACUAGCCACGUUUCCCACGGAGAACAGAGCUGAAGAAGCUUGUGCGAUGCCGGCAAAAUCCCAAAGAGUAAAUAACCUACAAUUCAGUAGGUAAGCAAUCCAGAUACAAACCAUUUAAAGCUCCUGUCUGUCAUCAGCUCUUCACACAAAAG
This is a long non-coding RNA of Oreochromis aureus, 228 nucleotides long. RefSeq lists it as uncharacterized. The record is from RefSeq and is a predicted model, not a curated record. NCBI's taxonomy places the organism in Eukaryota, Metazoa, Chordata, Actinopteri, Cichliformes, Cichlidae. The transcript has 3 exons.